AGUGGAUGAAAUAUAAACAAAUGAUAGGGGCUUCCAAUACUAUCCAGUUUACUUGCAAUCUUGAACGAGCAAUUAACAUGUGGUUAUGUUGCGUUGUUCCCCAUUGUCAUCUCAGAUCACUGGGACAGGGCUGUUUUCUUUUCACUUGUUAUUUCACUUGUGAUGAUGACAACAUCAAAUCCUCUUCUUUUUACGAAAUUGGAUUCAGAACAUGUCAUUGUGCAACCCAUGGGGGUCCUAUCUCGUGCUAGAACAGGUGCAACAGGUGCUGAUAUUAAUAUUUCAUGUGAAUUCUUUCUGGAAUGGUGGGAUUGUCUUGGAAAGAUGCAUUCUGACCACAAAGUCCCUGUUGAAGCAUGUGGAGUACACGUAAUAUAUGACUCGGAGUCGGAGCCUGGGUCGGGUCAAAAAGAAAGAGGGUUGCAGAUAUAGGCGUUGAAGAUGGAGUCCCUCCCGCGAAGCGACUCAACAAUUCUUGGAUCUCUCAACCUACUCCCCUAGGACUGGCGUUGCAGUUGGGGUUACUUCAUCUGUCACCCACUGCAACUCAAAUUUAUGCGCAAGAAGAAAUAAGAGGACCCUUUGCAACUCAAGUUAAAUAUAAAUUCUGACAUGCUCCGGGGAUGAGUACAUUGGAUGUAACCAGAGCAAAACUUGGCCUUUUGGUUUUAUAUUUGAACAAGGCUGAAGCCAGAAAUGAAAAUACGCAGCGCAAACGGUAUGGUUUCGACUUUCUAAGUGUAUGGCCAACCUGUUACUGCUCAGAAUGUAAAGUUACUCUGUUUUAAUGUUAAGUAAGCCAUAUAUAACAUUGAAGUCCUUGGAAGAUGUAUGUUCCGUCAAUUUAGUUUUUAGAACUUGAUUAACGUCAUUUAACUCCCGACAGCUUUUAAUGCAUCAAUUAUAUCAUCUUCAACUUUGUUGAUGGUAAAAUCAUAUUUUUGGGGUUUCAGGGGAUGCAAAUCGCAGUUUACUCAGAAAAUUGAAUUCAAGUUUUAACAGAUAUUUUUCUUGUACACUCUUGCAGGGUUUAUGUGAUGAUUCCGUUAUUAAUUUAUUGAGAUUUAAGUUGGAAAUAUUUCUCUUUUUUGAGUUGACAUUUUAUGCAAUGCAGGUGCUUCCUACCUUAAGCUUGCAGGAGGGCUUUUUGAUGAUCAGUGAGGUGUCUUUGACAUGUCCAUCAUAUUGUAUUAUGGCCAUUUGAGGAAGACAAAGCAAAAAUAAUGCCUGUUUACUUUUUCUUCAAGUUGUUUGAACCUUUGAUAUUAUUGAUGCGGAUCCAAAUGGA
Molecule: long non-coding RNA, 1288 nt
Organism: Neltuma alba
Lineage: Eukaryota; Viridiplantae; Streptophyta; Magnoliopsida; Fabales; Fabaceae
Exons: 2
Source: RefSeq, a predicted model, not a curated record